AUACGGAGGAUGCGAGCGUUAUCCGGAUUUAUUGGGUUUAAAGGGUGCGUAGGCGGAAAGGUAAGUCAGCGGUGAAACUCAGGUGCUCAACACCUGCCGUGCCGUUGAUACUGUUUUUCUGGAAUGCGGAUGCUGUGGGAGGAGUGUGUGGUGUAGCGGUGAAAUGCAUAGAUAUCACACAGAACACCGAUUGCGAAGGCAUCUCACCUACCCGUGAGUUACCCUUAAGCUCGAAAGUUUGCGGAUCGAACAGGAUUAAAUACCCUGGUAGUCCGCACUGUAAACGAUUAUCACUCGCUGUUGGCGAUAUACUGUCAUUGCCUAAGCGCCAGCGAUAAGUUAUCACCCUGGGGAGUACGUCGGCAACGAUGAUACUCAAACGAAUUGGCGGGG
RNAcentral lists this ribosomal RNA (393 nucleotides) under uncultured bacterium. RNAcentral's name for it is "partial 16S ribosomal RNA". It matches the Rfam family "Bacterial small subunit ribosomal RNA", at positions 523 to 918 of the family's 1533-position model. The record is from RNAcentral.